This 389-nucleotide ribosomal RNA is filed under the name Picozoa sp. RNAcentral describes it as "partial small subunit ribosomal RNA". It matches the Rfam family "Eukaryotic small subunit ribosomal RNA", at positions 582 to 975 of the family's 1831-position model. The record is from RNAcentral. Lineage: Eukaryota; Picozoa.
AUUCCAGCUCCAAUAGCGUAUAUUAAAGUUGUUGCAGUUAAAAAGCUCGUAGUCGGAUUUUGGCAUCACGCCGAACUGUCUGCCGAUUGGUAAGUACGGUUUGGCGGGUGCUUCCUUCCGGAGGCUCGUUCCCUUCUUCAUUGAAGGGUUCGUUGGUUCCGGGUCUUUUACUUUGAGAAAAUUAGAGUGUUCAAAGCAGGCCUAUGCUCUGAAUAGGUUAGCAUGGAAUAAUAGAAUAGGACUUUGGUUCUAUUUUGUUGGUUUCUAGGACCGAAGUAAUGAUUAAUAGGGAUAGUUGGGGGCAUUAGUAUUUAUUAGCUAGAGGUGGAAUUCUCUAAUUUGAUAAAGACUAACUUAUGCGAAAGCAUUUGCCAAGGACGUUUUCAUCG